ACUCCUACGGGAGGCAUCAGUGGGGAAUAUUGGACAAUGGGCGAAAGCCUGAUCCAGCCAUGCCGCGUGUGUGAAGAAGGCCUUCGGGUUGUAAAGCACUUUAAGUUGGGAGGAAAGCCUGUAUGUGAAUAAUGUGCAGGGUUGACGUUACCGACAGAAUAAGCACCGGCAAACUCCGUGCCAGCAGCCGCGGUAAUAC
This 199-nucleotide ribosomal RNA is filed under the name uncultured bacterium. RNAcentral's name for it is "partial 16S ribosomal RNA". It matches the Rfam family "Bacterial small subunit ribosomal RNA", at positions 335 to 526 of the family's 1533-position model. The record is from RNAcentral.